Armigeres subalbatus is the source of this 632-nucleotide long non-coding RNA. RefSeq lists it as uncharacterized. The record is from RefSeq and is a predicted model, not a curated record. The transcript is spliced from 3 exons. Lineage: Eukaryota; Metazoa; Arthropoda; Insecta; Diptera; Culicidae.
CACGUUUACUGAAUAGAUCUGCGUGAAUUCGUUCAAAUUCUGGAUUUAUAAAAAAAAACUUUUCACUUUUAGAUGUUGAAAUUUUUCGAGUUUCAUAAAACUUGAUGUUCAACAUAGUUAAAUAGCAACACUGUCAAACAGUCAUCGCAUCAUCAGCAAAAGCUGUUUUUGUGUGAUGUGUGCGGCCAUCUUUGCUUUGGGAACCCGCAGCAGCAGUCCGGAGUGGAAGGCUGGUCGAUCGUCGUCGUCGUUGUCGUCACGAGAAAACGAAAGAUUUUCCAGCUCAAACGGAACCGUUUUUCGUCGCGCGGAAGUGUGAAUCUAUGUGCAAUCGGAAGCGCGGCCACGGGCUGUGUGCUCAGCGAAAGCCAUAAUCAAAUUUCGGCGCUGUCUGCCUGCUUCCUGUCGGGUUGUAAAUCGAUGUUUCUCAAAGGAUGUACCUACCACGAACGCGACACCGAAUAGUCACCGAUCCGUAAUCUUUGAUCCACUGCAUGUCGCUUAGGUGAAAGAAGAGUGAAUGUGUGAUGGGGAACUGCGUGGAAUGACGCGAAAGUGAAUAAAUCAUAACAACACGCACAUAAGGAAAACCAGUCGUCACAAAAAAUAAAUCAUAAAGAACGAAGAAGCCA